CGCCUGUCUGAGCGGGAGCCACGGCAGGUUCUUGGGAGGUAAAACCCCUGAGAAGGAAGUUAAAAAAACAAAAUAAAAUCAGAACUGCAGUGACUGCGGGAAGAAAGGGAAGUGGAACAGACGGGAUUUUCACGGAAAUUACCUGGGCGAAAGAGAGGGAGGAGUGAGUGCAGGUGCAAGAGAUGCGGAUGCGCUGGAUGGUGGGAGGAAACAGGAGCUCCGUGUCUUCAAGAAAGGCAGAAGAGUCGGCGAUAAAAAGGAGUCAGACAGGUACACAUACACACACGGUGGCUGAAACCACUUAUCGCAAGCAGGGUCGCGGCAAGCCGGAGCCUAACCCGGCAACACAGGGAGCAAGGCUGGAGGGGGAGGGAACGCUCCCAGGAUGGGAUGCCGGUCCGUGACAAGGCACCCCAAGCGGGACUCGAACCCCAAACCCACUGGAGAGCAGGACCCGCCCAAGACUGCUGCUGCACCACCGCAUCGCCCUUUGUGUGGUGACAGCUGUUGCUCAGCAUGGGAAUCUUCUAGAGCUCGAGGGGAGGGCCACGCUGACAGAUUGAGGUUCUCUGGUGACUUUACUCCAUGUUCUCGCUACAUUCGGCAAAUCAACAAGGAGCUGCGCUGCGUCACAUCGCCAAGAAGCAGCCUUGCCCUGGAUAUGUCACUGUUCCUUCUGCAAGUUAUAACCAUUCCAAAUGUUUUGUAACACUAAUAAUGUUCCCUUUUAAACGAUAAGCUGGAAUAAUUAAACAUUGCAAAUGUUUCUUGGGAAAUAUUUUCGAUGAGGGGGAAAAGGUGGUGCAGCGGGUUUUGCCGGGGCACGGUUUGAAUCUGGCUCAGUCUGUGCGGGAUGUCUGUGUUCACGGUCCAAAGACGUGAUCUGGGGAAACUGGUGGCUCCAAUCUGCCCGUGGAAGGUACAUGUGUGAGUGGGUUGGAGUGUAUGAUUGCCCUGAAAUGGACUGGCAUCUUUUGCGGGGUGUACCACGCGUUGCGCCUCGACCCUGCAUCCGGAUAAGCGAUAAACAGUAGUGGACGGAUGGACAUGCAUAAUACAUAAUAUUUUGAAGAAACAAAGAUCUAAACACUUAAUUGGUGUAUAGAUGAGUGGCUCAUUGCACAUCAGUGAAUCUAGUGUAUGCAGCAGUGUAAGUCACCUACGGUGAAAGGCUGUGGGCUGAUUACAUGGCGUUCACUGGAAGUCAUCUUGUACUAAAAUAUCUGCCUAAUGAAUAAACGUCAGGGCGAAUAUUGGACA
This 1260-nucleotide long non-coding RNA is filed under the name Scleropages formosus (Asian bonytongue). RNAcentral describes it as "lncRNA (ENSSFOG00015029122.1)". The record is from RNAcentral. Lineage: Eukaryota; Metazoa; Chordata; Actinopteri; Osteoglossiformes; Osteoglossidae.